UGCCAGCCGCCGCGGUAAGACGAAGGGUGCAAGCGUUGCUCGGAAUUACUGGGCGUAAAGCGACCGCAGGCGGUCCAGUAGGUCGGAUGUGAAAGCUCGGGGCUCAACCCCGGAAGUGCACUUGAAACAGCAAGACUUGAAUACGGUAGAGGAGAGAGGAAUUCCUGGUGUAGAGGUGAAAUUCGUAGAUAUCAGGAGGAACACCGAUGGCGAAGGCAUCUCUCUGGGCCGAUAUUGACGCUGAGGCGCGAAGGCGUGGGUAGCGAACGGGAUUAGAUA
Molecule: ribosomal RNA, 279 nt
Filed under: uncultured bacterium
Lineage: Bacteria
Description: partial 16S ribosomal RNA
Rfam family: Bacterial small subunit ribosomal RNA
Source: RNAcentral